Molecule: ribosomal RNA, 497 nt
Filed under: uncultured bacterium
Lineage: Bacteria
Description: partial 16S ribosomal RNA
Rfam family: Bacterial small subunit ribosomal RNA
Source: RNAcentral
GAUGAACGCUGGCGGCGUGCCUAAUACAUGCAAGUCGAGCGAACGGACGAGAAGCUUGCUUUUCUGAUGUUAGCGGCGGACGGGUGAGUAACACGUGGAUAACCUACCUAUAAGACUGGGAUAACUUCGGGAAACCGGAGCUAAUACCGGAUAAUAUUUUGAACCGCAUGGUUCAAAAGUGAAAGACGGUCUUGCUGUCACUUAUAGAUGGAUCCGCGCUGCAUUAGCUAGUUGGCAAGGUAACGGCUUACCAAGGCAACGAUGCAUAGCCGACCUGAGAGGGUGAUCGGCCACACUGGAACUGGGCCACGGUCCGGACUCCUACGGGAGGCAGCAGAAGGGAAUCUUCCGCAAUGGGCGAAAGCCUGACGGAGCAACGCCGCGUGAGUGAUGAAGGUCUUCGGAUCUUAAAACUCUUUUAUCGGGGAAGAACAGAUGUGUAAGUAACUGUGCACAUCUUGACGGUACCUAAUCAGAAAGCCACGGCUAACUACGUG